This 613-nucleotide ribosomal RNA is filed under the name uncultured organism. RNAcentral's name for it is "bacterial SSU rRNA". It matches the Rfam family "Bacterial small subunit ribosomal RNA", at positions 65 to 659 of the family's 1533-position model. The record is from RNAcentral.
AGCAAGCUUGCUUGCGGAGGCUAGUAGAGCGGCGAAAGGGUGAGUAAUGCAUAGGUAACGUGCCCUGAGCUCGGGGAUAGCCGCGGGAAACCGUGGAUAAUACCCGAUGAGACCACGGUGUCAUAUGGCACAGCGGUCAAAGAUGGGGACCCUUCGGGGCCUAUCGGCUUUGGAGCGGCCUAUGUCCUAUCAGCUUGUUGGUGAGGUAACGGCUCACCAAGGCGACGACGGGUACCGGGACUGAGAGGUUGACCCGGCACAUUGGGACUGAGACACUGCCCAAACUCCUACGGGAGGCUGCAGUCGAGAAUCUUCCCCAAUGGGCGAAAGCCUGAGGGAGCGACGCCGCGUGUGGGAAUAAGCCCUUCGGGGUGUAAACCACUGUCAGGGACCACCAAGCGAUGGGGACAAAUAGUCCCCGGAGUUGAGGAAUCCCAAAGGAAGCCACGGCUAACUUCGUGCCAGCAGCCGCGGUAAGACGAAGGUGGCUAGCGUUGUUCGGAAUCAUUGGGCUUAAAGAGCAUGUAGGCGGCCCAUUAAGCGUCAUGUGAAAUCCCUCGACUNCACCGAGGAACUGCAUGGCGAACUGGUGGGCUUGAGGCAAGUAGGGGCG